GUAGGACCCAAGCGUUAUCCGGAAUCACUGGGCGUAAAGAGUUGCGUAGGUGGCUUGUUAAGCAGCGUGUGAAAGCGUACGGCUCAACCGUAUAAACAUACACUGAACUGGCAAGCUUGAAGAUGAGAGAGGUUAUUGGAAUUCCAAGUGUAGGGGUGAAAUCCGUAGAUAUUUGGAGGAACACCGAUGGCGUAGGCAGAUAACUGGCUCAUUCUUGACACUAAGGCACGAAAGCAUGGGGAGCAAACGGGAUUAGAUACCCCGGUAGUCCAUGCCCUAAACGAUGGAUGCUAGCUGUUGGUCGUAUCGACCCGAUCAGUAGCGAAGCUAACGCGUUAAGCAUCCCGCCUGUGGAGUACGAGCGCAAGCUUA
This 372-nucleotide ribosomal RNA is filed under the name uncultured bacterium. Its description in RNAcentral is "bacterial SSU rRNA". It matches the Rfam family "Bacterial small subunit ribosomal RNA", at positions 527 to 896 of the family's 1533-position model. The record is from RNAcentral.